Molecule: ribosomal RNA, 1226 nt
Filed under: Pratylenchus sp. DH-2017
Lineage: Eukaryota; Metazoa; Nematoda; Chromadorea; Rhabditida; Pratylenchidae
Description: eukaryotic LSU rRNA
Rfam family: Eukaryotic small subunit ribosomal RNA (bases 1-193)
Source: RNAcentral
UUGAUUACGUCCCUGCCCUUUGUACACACCGCCCGUCGCUGCCCGGGACUGAGCCAUUUCGAGAAACUUGGGGACCGCUGAUUUCCAGGCUUUCGGGUCUGCUAAUUGGUGGGAACCAAUUUAAUCGCAGUGGCUUGAACCGGGCAAAAGUCGUAACAAGGUAGCUGUAGGUGAACCUGCUGCUGGAUCAUUACAUCCGCCCAAUGUAAUUGGUCAAAUUUCUGUGUGAAAUGCUGACAAACAUAGAAGCCCGACUAUGUGUUGUCACAGAGCACACACACUUUCUUCGUCAAUUGUGUGUUUAUUUGAUGGGAAAGAGUAGUAGUGCAAGUUGUUUGUGCGCAGUACGUAUUUCUCUAUGUGUGUUUAUGAGAUGCGUGUCGGCACAAAUGGCGAUUAUCCGCUCAACCACACGGGGAAAGGUGGUUCCACCAAGUGUGAUAUGGUGGCUUUUGCGAUGGAGCGGUCAAAUAAACGGCUAACGCUGGUGUCUGUGUGUUGCUGAGCAGUCGUAUUCGUCCGUGGCUGUGAUGAGGCAAUGCGGUAGGGCCUGCAUGUGUGUGUCUUGCAUGGCUUAAGACUUAAUGAGCCCAUUCUGUGUGGGGACGCCAGCACAAACCCAUUUUUUCCAACUUUUUUUUAUGCUUGUAAAGCAACAAGAAAACAUUCUAGUCUUAUCGGUGGAUCACUCGGCUCGUAGGUCGAUGAAGAACGCAGCUAACUGCGAUAAAUAGUGUGAACUGCAGAAACCUUGAACACAAAAGCUUCGAAUGCACAUUGCACCAAGGGAGUCUUAUCCCUUGGUACGCCUGGUUCAGGGUCGUAAACCAAAAACGCAUAUCAAAUGCGUAGUAUGCGCUGCCUCUGCGCAUAUGUGAUUGAUAGGUUCAUUCAACUGUGUGCGAAUGUUCCUGUAAUUCAAAAAAAAAAUGUUGCAACUGGUGUGUUGUGGGAUGGCUACUUGAACUUUGUAUAAUGAAAUACAAGCCUAUAGUUCCAAGUGGACAUCGAGGAGCAAAUUCCUCUCGAAUCACUUCAGGCCAACAUCUGACUGAUAGCACAUUUUUUGAGUCCCCAUAUAAAACAUACGCGAACUAUGUUUUGGACAGCACAAGAAAAUUGCAUUUUCGACCUGAACUCAGACGUGAAUACCCGCUGAACUUAAGCAUAUCAGUAAGCGGAGGAAAAGAAACUAACAAGGAUUCCCUUAGUAACGGCGAGUGAAA